RNAcentral lists this long non-coding RNA (1850 nucleotides) under Homo sapiens (human). RNAcentral describes it as "HSALNT0367505". Lineage: Eukaryota; Metazoa; Chordata; Mammalia; Primates; Hominidae. The record is from RNAcentral.
GGAGGUGGCGGAGGGUGCAGUGGACUCUGUGAAGGACCUUAGCUUUGGGGAUUUAAUACUCUAUUUUUGUGAUGGUUGGCCUUCUGCCAAGAGGUGGCAUUUUCCAGAAAGCAUCAGCUGUACUAGUGUGGCAAGGGACCAGUGGUGGGCAGGGGCCCUAGAACAAACUGAAGGGUUGGUCUCACUCCCACCAUGCCCCACCACGAACAGCCCUGAGUCUGUUUCCGGGUGGAGGGCAAGUCGGACUUGAAAACUUGCCCCAGGCUUUCCACCUCCCAGCUGCCAAAGAAAAGGGCUUUAGUUCUUCCCCCGUCUGUGAAGUCUGCAAGCCGGAUUCACGCCCUUCCCCGAGUUCUGGCCAGGAGGCUUCUUGCCCCGUGCAAAUUGUAACAAAGUUCAGCUAGAGAAGUCCUCCUUCCUAUGGAGUUUUAUCUCCUGCUCCUCUGCCACCCUCCUGAUGGAUCCCUGUGGUACCAGGCAGGAAUGGGCUGCUUGGGUAUCCAGCGAGCUCCCAGCGCCUUUCUGCUGCUUCCUCUACCCUUGUAUUUUGCUUGGCUCAGCUCUCUAACUUGACUCACCUCCAGGAAUCUCACAUCUUCUGCCAGCAUCCUGAAACUAUGGCAGACUCACUUGUUAACUUUGCAAAUAAGGUCAAAUUUCAGAACCUUCACAGCUCCUGAUAGUCACCGUGUAAUAGAAGAUUAAAAGACAAGCUCAGCUCUUGUUCCAGUCAGCCUCAUUCCUCUGCCUACAAUACAAAAGUCACUCAAUCAUAUUCUUGUCUUAAAUUGAACAGUCCUUACAUGGUUAAGAAAAGGAGAAAUUCAUUGUAAGGAAUGUUUACAUUUUGUUUAUAAUUCCUGCAAGUGUAAUGUUUCAAAAGGUUUUCCUGUGGCUGAAGUACAUUUACCCUGUGUAGCUCUAGAGAAAUGAACUUACAAACUGAAAAAUUUCAGCUCAGUAUAUAAAGAAAAACAGAUUUUCACAAUUAGAUCUAUCCCAAAGAGAAUAAAUUUUGAGGUGAUAAGCUCACUGCUGGCUUAGAUCAUCACUUAUGGGACCUCUAAUGGGGCAGGGAUCAGACUAGAUGUGUACAAAGAUCUCUUCCAACUGAAGCUGCUACUGUGGAGGACGUUGUUUUCAGUGGACUCUCUAAUCAGAUUUAUUUUCAUACCAAGAAAUGAAGAAGGUGAGCUGGGGGAUGCAGCUGGGACUCAGAAGACUGCACGUGAUAGACUCAUGAGCUGAAGAUCUCGUGCUUAGUCUGGAGAAGCUCAUCAAGUCUAGCUCACUUUGGAGUAAGUUGGUGCUGGAGAAUGAAUUCAUGCUAACCAAAUUCACCAAGAGCCUGAUUUACAAAUGAGAGAGCCAAGGCCUUAAGUUUAGAGCAAAAGACAAACUUCCAAUGACUUUAGUUUUCUUGUCCAAUAUCUAGGGCACCUUCCCCUCUCCACCUGCUGUGUACACAGGAGAAAUAAUCACUCCACACCCGACUGAACAUUUUCUAACCUUAUCACUGUGGCAGAAACUGGCUACUCUUCCUCCUGGGUAGACAGCCAGGCUGUAUUUCCCCGCUGCCCCUGCAGUGAGAGGUAGCCAUUGGAGCCGGCGCAGGCCAAUGGACUCUGCACUGGAGUGACACAUGCUGCUUCCAGGCCUGUCCCUCAAACCUCCCACAUGUCCUCUGUCUGCUCUUCUCACUUCCAAGGAGUGUGACCAUCGUGGAAGCCCCAGGUUAGCAAUGGCAGAUUGGGAGGCAUCGAUGGGAGGAACCUGGGUCCCUGACUUAAAGCAUCAUGGAUUUGGACUUUCCGUUAUUGAGAAAUAAACUUCCAUUGUGUUUAAGCCUU